CCCUUAGACGUUCUGGACCGCACGCGCGCUACACUGACCAGUGCAACCAGCAUCCGUCCUUGGCCGACAGGCCCGGGCAAUCUUUGAACGCUGGUCGUGAUGGGGAUAGACUUUUGCAAUUUUUGGUCUUCAACGAGGAAUUCCUAGUAAACGCAAGUCAUCAACUUGCAUUGAUUACGUCCCUGCCCUUUGUACACACCGCCCGUCGCACCUACCGAUUGAAUGGUCCGGUGAAGCCUCCGGAUUGGCGCGCACCUCGGUGCCGCCGAGAAGUUGGCUAAACCUUACCAUUUAGAGGAAGGUGAAGUCGUAACA
This 315-nucleotide ribosomal RNA is filed under the name uncultured eukaryote. Its description in RNAcentral is "partial 18S ribosomal RNA". It matches the Rfam family "Eukaryotic small subunit ribosomal RNA", at positions 1470 to 1796 of the family's 1831-position model. The record is from RNAcentral.